GAUGAACGCUGGCGGCGUGCCUAAUACAUGCAAGUCGAGCGGUAAGGCCACUUCGGUGGUACACGAGCGGCGGACGGCUGAGUAACACGUAGGAACGUACCCCAAAGUGAGGGAUAAGCGCCGGAAACGGCGUCUAAUACCGCAUGUGGUCUUCGGACUAAAGCACCGGCGCUUUGGGAACGGCCUGCGCAUGAUUAGCUUGUUGGUAAGGUAAUGGCUUACCAAGGCGACGAUCAUUAGCUGGUCUGAGAGGAUGAUCAGCCAGACUGGGACUGAGACACGGCCCAGACUCCUACGGGAGGCAGCAGUAGGGAAUCUUCCACAAUGGGCGGAAGCCUGAUGGAGCAACGCCGCGUGCAGGAUGAAUGCCUUCGGGUUGUAAACUGCUUUUAUCUGUGACGAUUAUGACGGUAGCAGAUGAAUAAGGAUCGGCUAACUCCGUGCCAGCAGCCGCCGUAA
This 459-nucleotide ribosomal RNA is filed under the name uncultured bacterium. RNAcentral's name for it is "partial 16S ribosomal RNA". It matches the Rfam family "Bacterial small subunit ribosomal RNA", at positions 28 to 523 of the family's 1533-position model. The record is from RNAcentral.